AGCAGCCGCGGUAAUUCCAGCUCCAAUAGCGUAUAUUAAAGUUGUUGCAGUUAAAAAGCUCGUAGUUGAACUUCGGGGUUUACUCAUUGGUCAGGCUUAAUUGUCUGUACUGGUGAGAUGAAUCUCUACCUUCUGAGGAACUUUCAUGCCAUUUAUUUGGUGUGGUUGGAAAUCAGGACUGUUACUUUGAAAAAUUAGAGUGUUUAAAGCAGGCUAACGUCUGAAUACAUUAGCAUGGAAUAAUGAAAUAGGACGGAUUGAUUCUAUUUCGUUGGUUUCUAGGGUCACCGUAAUGAUUAAUAGGGAUAGUUGGGGGCAUUAGUAUUCAAUUGUCAGAGGUGAAAUUCUUGGAUUUAUUGAAGACUAACUACUGCGAAAGCAUUUGCCAAGGAUGUUUUCAUUAAUCAAGAACGAAAGUUAGGGGAUCGAAGACGAUCAGAUACCGUCGUA
This 450-nucleotide ribosomal RNA is filed under the name uncultured Diversispora. RNAcentral's name for it is "SSU rRNA". It matches the Rfam family "Eukaryotic small subunit ribosomal RNA", at positions 569 to 1022 of the family's 1831-position model. Lineage: Eukaryota; Fungi; Glomeromycota; Glomeromycetes; Diversisporales; Diversisporaceae. The record is from RNAcentral.